RNAcentral lists this ribosomal RNA (432 nucleotides) under uncultured bacterium. RNAcentral's name for it is "bacterial SSU rRNA". It matches the Rfam family "Bacterial small subunit ribosomal RNA", at positions 917 to 1350 of the family's 1533-position model. The record is from RNAcentral.
GGGCCCGCACAAGCGGUGGAGUAUGUGGUUUAAUUCGAUGCAACGCGAAGAACCUUACCAGGGUUUGACAUCCUGCGAAUCUCUUGGAAACGAGAGAGUGCCUUCGGGAGCGCAGUGACAGGUGGUGCAUGGCUGUCGUCAGCUCGUGUCGUGAGAUGUUGGGUUAAGUCCCGCAACGAGCGCAACCCACGUCUUUAGUUGCCAGCAUUUAGUUGGGCACUCUAGAGAGACUGCCGGUGAUAAACCGGAGGAAGGUGUGGAUGACGUCAAGUCAUCAUGCCCCUUACAUCCUGGGCUACACACGUACUACAAUGGCUAGGACAGACGGCCGCAAACCCGCGAGGGGGAGCCAAUCCGACAAACCUAGUCGUAGUCCGGAUCGGAGUCUGCAACUCGACUCCGUGAAGGCGGAAUCGCUAGUAAUCGCAGGUC